AGUGAACGCUGGCGGUAGGCCUAACACAUGCAAGUCGAACGGCAGCACAGGAGAGCUUGCUCUCUGGGUGGCGAGUGGCGGACGGGUGAGGAAUACAUCGGAAUCUACUCUGUCGCGGGGGAUAACGUAGGGAAACUUACGCUAAUACCGCAUACAACCUACGGGUGAAAGCAGGGGAUCUUCGGACCUUGCGCGAUUGAAUGAGCCGAUGUCGGAUUAGCUAGUUGGCGGGGUAAAGGCCCACCAAGGCGACGAUCCGUAGCUGGUCUGAGAGGAUGAUCCGCCACACUGGAACUGAGACACGGUCCAGACUCCUACGGGAGGCAGCAGUGGGGAAUAUUGGACAAUGGGCGCAAGCCUGAUCCAGCCAUACCGCGUGGGUGAAGAAGGCCUUCGGGUUGUAAAGCCCUUUUGUUGGGAAAGAAAUCCAGCUGGCUAAUACCCGGUUGGGAUGACGGUACCCAAAGAAUAAGCACCGGCUAACUUCGUGCCAGCCGCCGCAGUAA
Molecule: ribosomal RNA, 506 nt
Filed under: uncultured bacterium
Lineage: Bacteria
Description: partial 16S ribosomal RNA
Rfam family: Bacterial small subunit ribosomal RNA
Source: RNAcentral